Molecule: ribosomal RNA, 403 nt
Filed under: uncultured bacterium
Lineage: Bacteria
Description: partial 16S ribosomal RNA
Rfam family: Bacterial small subunit ribosomal RNA
Source: RNAcentral
GACGAACGCUGGCGGCGUGCCUAAUACAUGCAAGUCGAACGCAGUGGGGACGGGGGAGUAACACGUGGGUAACCUCCCAUCAGAGGGGAGAACACUUGGAAACAGGUGCUAAACCGAUACUGAUGGAUGAACCAGGUGUGCAUUAGCUAGUUGGUGAGGUAACGGCUAACCAAGGCAACGAUGCAUAGCGGGCCUGAGAGGGUGAGCAGCCAAAAUGGGACUGAGACACGGCCCAGACUCCUACGGGAGGCAGCAGUAGGGAAUCUUGGGAAAUGGACGAAAGUCUGACCGAGCCACGCCGCGUGAAUGAAGAAGGUUUUCGGAUCGUAAAACUCUGUUGUUAGGGAAGCGGUAUCUAACCAGAAAGCCACGGCUAACUACGUGCCAGCAGCCGCGGUAAUAC